GGGACUUUUCCUCCACUCGGUUCAAACGUCUUUUUAAUGGGCUUAGUUUUUCCUCCAAAAUUCGGCCCAUCUCGUUCACCAAGUAUUGAAAUUCAUCAGUAGAGAAUUCUUCUUGAGACAUGAUUUAAUUACUAAAAAAAUGAUUAAAACAAAACAAAAAUUAAAUACCUCACCACAAAAAUCUCACGUUUCACUCACAAAGAAAAUUGGAUAACACUCCACUCGUG
RNAcentral lists this long non-coding RNA (227 nucleotides) under Gossypium barbadense (sea-island cotton). Its description in RNAcentral is "long non-coding RNA (GBAR_LNC005380)". Lineage: Eukaryota; Viridiplantae; Streptophyta; Magnoliopsida; Malvales; Malvaceae. The record is from RNAcentral.